GAUUAACGCUGGCGGCGUGCAUAACACAUGCAAGUCGAACGAUGAAGCUUAGAUGAUUUCUUCGGAAUGACCUUAAGUGGAUUAGUGGCGAACGGGUGAGUAACGCGUGAGUAACCUGCCUUACACAAGGGGAUAGCCUCUGGAAACGGAGAAUAAUACCCUAUGAAACUAUCUUAUCGCAUGAAUAGAUAGUCAAAGUGUUUUAGCGGUGUAAGAUGGACUUGCGUCUGAUUAGCUAGUUGGUGAGAUAACAGCCCACCAAGGCAACGAUCAGUAGCCGGCUUGAGAGAGUGUACGGCCACAUUGGGACUGAGACGCGGCCCAGACUCCUACGGGAGGCAGCAGUGGGGAAUUUUGCACAAUGGGGGCAACCCUGAUGCAGCGACGCCGCGUGAUUUAGAAGGCCUUCGGGUUGUAAAAAUCUUUUGUAUAGGAAGAAAAUGACAGUACUAUACGAAUAAGGUCCGGCUAAUUACGUGCCAGCAGCCGCGGUAAUACGUAAGGACCGAGCGUUGUCCGGAAUCAUUGGGCGUAAAGGGUACGUAGGCGGUUAGAAAAGUUAGAAGUGAAAGGCUAUAGCUCAACUAUAGUAAGCUUUUAAAACUGUUUAACUUGAGAGAUGGAAGGGAAAGUGGAAUUCCUAGUGUAGCGGUGAAAUGCGCAGAUAUUAGGAGGAAUACCGGUGGCGAAGGCGACUUUCUGGCCAUUAUCUGACGCUGAGGUACGAAAGCGUGGGUAGCAAACAGG
RNAcentral lists this ribosomal RNA (747 nucleotides) under uncultured Anaerococcus sp. Its description in RNAcentral is "bacterial SSU rRNA". It matches the Rfam family "Bacterial small subunit ribosomal RNA", at positions 28 to 776 of the family's 1533-position model. Lineage: Bacteria; Bacillati; Bacillota; Tissierellia; Tissierellales; Peptoniphilaceae. The record is from RNAcentral.